Molecule: unclassified non-coding RNA, 668 nt
Filed under: plant metagenome
Description: partial contains small subunit ribosomal RNA and internal transcribed spacer 1
Rfam family: Group I catalytic intron (bases 114-400)
Source: RNAcentral
AAGUCGUAACAAGGUUUCCGUAGACUCAAGUCCUCGGGAUACAGAUCCUUCCGCAUGUACACUUGCCGAAGCCUUGUAAAGCAGCCCGAGAGGGUGACCUGCGCGACAUUAAACAACGCAGCUUAAAUGCUAGUCCUGCCCAGAGAUGGCGGGCGACACUUUCAAAUUGCGGGGAUACCCUAAAGGUCUCAGGUACCAAGCGACUGCUGGAAAACGGCGUCGUGGCCAGGUUAACGCCCUGGGUACGGUCAUAACCCUGAGACAUCGAUCCCUCCGGGGGUGAGAAUGGGCGAUCCGCAGCCAAUUCCCCUUUGGGGAUGCUGUUCACAGGCCAGAUGUUAGUGGGUGGCACCGCAAGGUUCCGCUUAAGAUAUGGUCGGUCUUCUCGCGAGAGCGAGGGGAGAAGUACAUUGCUCUUAGUACCAAGGGCUCGACGUGCGUGCACGUAGUACCCGUAAAACGUUCCGUAGGUGAACCUGCGGAAGGAUCAUUACUGAGAUAGGGUCCUUCGAGGCCCGACCUCCAACCCUUUGUCUACAUACCUCUGUUGCCUCGGCGGGUCGCCGGUGCCUUUGCGGGUACCGCCGUCGGCCUCGUGCUCUCGAGUGCCGCCAACAGGCCCUUAACCCUUUAACGUAGUAAUCUGAGAGUACUAUCAAUACUUCAAA